This 562-nucleotide ribosomal RNA is filed under the name denitrifying bacterium K(C1). RNAcentral describes it as "bacterial SSU rRNA". It matches the Rfam family "Bacterial small subunit ribosomal RNA", at positions 353 to 906 of the family's 1533-position model. The record is from RNAcentral.
AGUGGGGAAUAUUGGACAAUGGGCGCAAGCCUGAUCCAGCCAUACCGCGUGGGUGAAGAAGGCCUUCGGGUUGUAAAGCCCUUUUGUUGGGAAAGAAAUCCAGCCGGCUAAUACCUGGUUGGGAUGACGGUACCCAAAGAAUAAGCACCGGCUAACUUCGUGCCAGCAGCCGCGGUAAUACGAAGGGUGCAAGCGUUACUCGGAAUUACUGGGCGUAAAGCGUGCGUAGGUGGUUGUUUAAGUCUGUUGUGAAAGCCCUGGGCUCAACCUGGGAACUGCAGUGGAAACUGGACAACUAGAGUGUGGUAGAGGGUAGCGGAAUUCCCGGUGUAGCAGUGAAAUGCGUAGAGAUCGGGAGGAACAUCCAUGGCGAAGGCAGCUACCUGGACCAACACUGACACUGAGGCACGAAAGCGUGGGGAGCAAACAGGAUUAGAUACCCUGGUAGUCCACGCCCUAAACGAUGCGAACUGGAUGUUGGGUGCAAUUUGGCACGCAGUAUCGAAGCUAACGCGUUAAGUUCGCCGCCUGGGGAGUACGGUCGCAAGACUGAAACUCAAAG